UCAGCAAAAGUUUUUCUUAUCCUAGUUUAUAAAUCAGAACCCCAAAUGUACAAUAUUUCUCAACAAAAGAAAAAACUUUCCUAAAAUAGAAAUUUUGAGAAUUUUAUUUUUAAAAUACAACCUAUUGGUAAAAAAAUCUAAAAGAAUACUCUUGUAUCAGCAAAAGUUUUUCUUAUCCUAGUUUAUAAAUCACAACCCCAAAUCUACAAUAUUUAUCGAUAAAAAUGAAAACUUUCCUAAAAUAGAAUUUUUGAAAAAUUUAUUUAAAAUAUACAAUAUUUUGAUUAAAAAAAAUCAAACAAAAUACUCUUCUAUCAACAGAAAUUCUUGUUGUCCUAAUCUCUAAACCACAAUCCCAAAUGUACA
RNAcentral lists this long non-coding RNA (366 nucleotides) under Brassica napus (rape). RNAcentral's name for it is "long non-coding RNA (BNAP_LNC006306)". The record is from RNAcentral. Lineage: Eukaryota; Viridiplantae; Streptophyta; Magnoliopsida; Brassicales; Brassicaceae.